Molecule: transfer RNA, 80 nt
Filed under: Cordylochernes scorpioides
Lineage: Eukaryota; Metazoa; Arthropoda; Arachnida; Pseudoscorpiones; Chernetidae
Description: tRNA-Glu
Source: RNAcentral
AUCCUAGGGGGUGGGUGGAAGGCUGGUUAAACCGUUGGUUUUCGACCACUACGACCCGGGUUCGAUUCCCGCAUUGGACA